AACGAACGCUGGCGGCAUGCCUAUCACAUGCAAGUCGAACGAGACCUUCGGGUCUAGUGGCGCACGGGUGCGUAACGCGUGGGAACCUGCCCUUAGGUUCGGAAUAACUCCCCGAAAGGGGUGCUAAUACCGGAUAAUGUCUUCGGACCAAAGAUUUAUCGCCUUUGGAUGGGCCCGCGUUGGAUUAGCUAGUUGGUAGGGUAAAAGCCUACCAAGGCGACGAUCCAUAGCUGGUCUGAGAGGAUGAUCAGCCACACUGGGACUGAGACACGGCCCAGACUCCUACGGGAGGCAGCAGUGGGGAAUAUUGGACAAUGGGCGAAAGCCUGAUCCAGCAAUGCCGCGUGAGUGAUGAAGGCCUUAGGGUUGUAAAGCUCUUUUACCCGGGAUGAUAAUGACAGUACCGGGAGAAUAAGCGCCGGCUAACUCCGUG
Molecule: ribosomal RNA, 433 nt
Filed under: uncultured bacterium
Lineage: Bacteria
Description: partial 16S ribosomal RNA
Rfam family: Bacterial small subunit ribosomal RNA
Source: RNAcentral